AACGAACGCUGGCGGCAUGCCUAACACAUGCAAGUCGAACGAGAUCUUCGGGUCUAGUGGCGCACGGGUGCGUAACGCGUGGGAAUCUGCCCUUUGGUUCGGAAUAACAGUUGGAAACGACUGCUAAUAUCGGAUGAUGACGAAAGUCCAAAGAUUUAUCGCCAGAGGAUGAGCCCGCGUAGGAUUAGCUAGUUGGUGUGGUAAAGGCGCACCAAGGCGACGAUCCUUAGCUGGUCUGAGAGGAUGAUCAGCCACACUGGGACUGAGACACGGCCCAGACUCCUACGGGAGGCAGCAGUGGGGAGUAUUGGACAAUGGGCGAAAGCCUGAUCCAGCAAUGCCGCGUGAGUGAUGAAGGCCUUAGGGUUGUAAAGCUCUUUUACCCGGGAUGGUAAUGACAGUACCGGGAGAAUAAGCUCCGGCUAACUCCGUGCCAGCCGCCGCCGUAA
RNAcentral lists this ribosomal RNA (449 nucleotides) under uncultured bacterium. Its description in RNAcentral is "partial 16S ribosomal RNA". It matches the Rfam family "Bacterial small subunit ribosomal RNA", at positions 29 to 523 of the family's 1533-position model. The record is from RNAcentral.